This 1031-nucleotide long non-coding RNA is filed under the name Suricata suricatta (meerkat). Its description in RNAcentral is "lncRNA (ENSSSUG00005016977.1)". Lineage: Eukaryota; Metazoa; Chordata; Mammalia; Carnivora; Herpestidae. The record is from RNAcentral.
AGGCUCAGGACCAACUUCCGGACACGAUCUGCGAACUUUAGUGCCUAUUGGGUCAGGUCUCGGCACAGACUCACCGCCGACCAACCAGAGGGCAAGUUGUCUGCGGGGGAGGGGACGAGCGACGGCCCAAUUGGAGACGAGAGGCGGGGCAGCUAAGUUUAGAGGAAAACAAGCCUAAGGCGGGCGUGACCCGCCGACUACCCGAUCGGAAUUCCCAGAAAGCCUCCUAAAGUGAAAACCCCGAAUCACACGAAAUCCAGCUCGUCAGUGUCCGGAUGGGACCAAACAAACCGAAUUGUUAACAAGCUCUUCCCCCUCAGACAAGCUUGAGAAUCACUGUCCCGGUCAUAACGGGUUUAAAGGCAGUCCCCACUUGCUCGAGUUACUCGGGGCUGCAGGGGAGAGCCCCUCCGGCCCUGGCGCCCUCGGAAGCACGUAAGCCAGGGUCCCCUCCGCCGCCUCCCGGCGCCGGGGGAAGCGCGGGAAGCGGCGAACCACUCCGGGUCAGCGUCGCUGAGGGGCUUGCCGGGAGAUGUAGUCUGUUGCGCGGCUUACGCCUGCGCCUGCGCGGAUACAGGUGCAGGGAGGAGGGACGGGGAGCUAUGCGCGGCAGCAGUGCUUCCGGCACGCUGCUGGGGGCCUGGGGUUGGAGCGCUCUGCUGUCCCUUGCCCCGUCGGGGUCCCGCUUCUGGAGGCUGGACAUCCCCGAGGGCUCUUGGAGACCCAUGACGUGCUGGCUUAUUGUCCAUCCCUGCGAAGGCGGGAUCGUUGUUCAACUCCCUCCUGGGUCUUGUGAUGAAGGUUGUGAACUUCACUGCGAGCGGGUUUUAAGAUCAGGAGAGAUGAAGAAGCUUCUUCAAAGCAGAAAAAAACCUGUAAACUCUGCAUCCACCCACUGUGACUUGAGGGGAGUGCUCUCCAAAGGCCUACUUUACAACAAAGACUACAAACCUUUAACAACCAAUGUGGAAAGCUCAAGACCCAGCAGAACUUACAGAGCAUCCAACAACCCUCUAGGAAGAAAACCCUGA